Molecule: ribosomal RNA, 583 nt
Filed under: Duganella sp. StTD369
Lineage: Bacteria; Pseudomonadati; Pseudomonadota; Betaproteobacteria; Burkholderiales; Oxalobacteraceae
Description: bacterial SSU rRNA
Rfam family: Bacterial small subunit ribosomal RNA
Source: RNAcentral
ACGGGUGAGUAAUAUAUCGGAACGUACCCAAGAGUGGGGGAUAACGUAGCGAAAGUUACGCUAAUACCGCAUACGAUCUAAGGAUGAAAGCAGGGGAUCGCAAGACCUUGUGCUCCUGGAGCGGCCGAUAUCUGAUUAGCUAGUUGGUGGGGUAAAGGCCCACCAAGGCAACGAUCAGUAGCUGGUCUGAGAGGACGACCAGCCACACUGGAACUGAGACACGGUCCAGACUCCUACGGGAGGCAGCAGUGGGGAAUUUUGGACAAUGGGGGCAACCCUGAUCCAGCAAUGCCGCGUGAGUGAAGAAGGCCUUCGGGUUGUAAAGCUCUUUUGUCAGGGAAGAAAAGGCUGUGGCUAAUAUCCACAGCUGCUGACGGUACCUGAAGAAUAAGCACCGGCUAACUACGUGCCAGCAGCCGCGGUAAUACGUAGGGUGCAAGCGUUAAUCGGAAUUACUGGGCGUAAAGCGUGCGCAGGCGGUUUCGUAAGUCUGUCGUGAAAUCCCCGGGCUUAACCUGGGAAUGGCGAUGGAGACUGCGAGGCUAGAGUUUGGCAGAGGGGGGUAGAAUUCCACGUGUAGCAG